CAGAUCUAGCUUGCUAGAUGCUGACGAGCGGCGGACGGGUGAGUAAUGCAUAGGAAUCUGCCCGGUAGUGGGGGAUAACCUGGGGAAACCCAGGCUAAUACCGCAUACGUCCUACGGGAGAAAGGGGGCUUCGGCUCCCGCUAUUGGAUGAGCCUAUGUCGGAUUAGCUAGUUGGUGAGGUAAUGGCUCACCAAGGCAACGAUCCGUAGCUGGUCUGAGAGGAUGAUCAGCCACAUCGGGACUGAGACACGGCCCGAACUCCUACGGGAGGCAGCAGUGGGGAAUAUUGGACAAUGGGCGCAAGCCUGAUCCAGCCAUGCCGCGUGUGUGAAGAAGGCCCUCGGGUUGUAAAGCACUUUCAGCGAGGAAGAACGCCUAGUGGUUAAUACCCAUUAGGAAAGACAUCACUCGCAGAAGAAGCACCGGCUAACUCCGUGCCAGCAGCCGCGGUAAUACGGAGGGUGCAAGCGUUAAUCGGAAUUACUGGGCGUAAAGCGCGCGUAGGUGGCUUGAUAAGCCGGUUGUGAAAGCCCCGGGCUCAACCUGGGAACGGCAUCCGGAACUGUCAAGCUAGAGUGCAGGAGAGGAAGGUAGAAUUCCCGGUGUAGCGGUGAAAUGCGUAGAGAUCGGGAGGAAUACCAGUGGCGAAGGCGGCCUUCUGGACUGACACUGACACUGGGGUGCGAAAGCGUGGGUAGCAAACAGGAUUAGAUACCCUGGUAGUCCACGCCGUAAACGAUGUCGACCAGCCGUUGGGUGCCUAGCGCACUUUGUGGCGAAGUUAACGCGAUAAGUCGACCGCCUGGGGAGUACGGCCGCAAGGUUAAAACUCAAAUGAAUUGACGGGGGCCCGCACAAGCGGUGGAGCAUGUGGUUUAAUUCGAUGCAACGCGAAGAACCUUACCUACUCUUGACAUCCU
RNAcentral lists this ribosomal RNA (920 nucleotides) under uncultured bacterium. RNAcentral describes it as "bacterial SSU rRNA". It matches the Rfam family "Bacterial small subunit ribosomal RNA", at positions 70 to 990 of the family's 1533-position model. The record is from RNAcentral.